UCGUGGAUUGAUUUGUCAGGUUAAUUCCGUUAACGAACGAGACCGCAUGGUGUGGUGCACUCAUUUAGAAGGACCAUGUGCGCCUAGCACGAGGAAGCGCGAAGCAAUAACA
This 112-nucleotide ribosomal RNA is filed under the name uncultured eukaryote. Its description in RNAcentral is "partial 18S ribosomal RNA". The record is from RNAcentral.